Non-coding RNA from Camelina sativa (false flax), 5041 nucleotides. NCBI's taxonomy places the organism in Eukaryota, Viridiplantae, Streptophyta, Magnoliopsida, Brassicales, Brassicaceae. The record is from RefSeq and is a predicted model, not a curated record.
GGGGGGNAUUAUAAUAUACACAUGGUGACAUGGGUAAUGGGUAAUUAACAAAACUCUUCUUAGAGUGGACAGCAAGGAACGGUAAGCAUUGUAAUGGAGCUAUGGAGUUGGGUGGAAUGGAAGACUGUUGGCAAGGGAAGAUACAUUACAGAAGGAGCCAAGUGAUGUUUGUUCAGUUGACUGGGUGGAGUUGAGGAGGCUGCUGUUUCGAUCCUUAUUGAUUUUUUUGAGAUUUAUUUCGUGUGUGGAUUGAUCAUUUUAUUUCGUGUGUGUGUUCAGCAGGCCGAAAAAGGCCCAAUAACAACAACUUCAGCCCAUCAAACAAGACAUGCCCAGGGAAAAUUAAAAUUUCUCAGGUCCGUGAAGGCGUGAAUAGAGAGAGAGAGAGAGAGAGCACUGUGCAUUCACCGCCGCACCGGUGUAACGGUAUCAGCAGCAAUUCACCUUCUCAUAUGUGUAGAGUGGCUGAGACGAGAGCUAUGGACUAUUUUGGGUCAGGACUCAAACAAGUGCUCGUAACUUGUACACAUGAUUGUUGCCAAGAUUGUACUCUUGAUGAGCUACUGAGAUUGCUGGGCGGAGGAGAGGUAUUUGGUACUCUCUGAUCUAAAGAGGAAGCAAAAGACAACGAGUCCCUUGAAAAGACCUCUUUGGAUACAACGAGUCCCUUGAAAAGACCUCUUUGGAUACAACGAGUCUCUUGAAAAGACCUCUUUGGAUACAACGAGUCCCUUGAAAAGACCUCUGAUCUGUGCUUUUUGGCUGUAUCAAGGAGCCUCAUCAUCUGCUCACAGGUAGCUGAUAUGGGACCUGGCUCUUGGACUGCCACUUGAGCGGCCAAAUAGUCCAAAGAUGGAGAGGUUACAUGUCCUCCAAAAGGUGAAACUUUGGAGCUUCUUGUGUCUUAAGCUCCUCUCUAAACCACCAGAGGAUUAUCAUGUUCUUCGGUGUGGGUUUUACGGGCAACUUCUCUCGUCCAAAGCGUUGGGAGAUCACAGUUGGUGGUUAUGCGACUUUUGCUGGUAACGUUUUAUAUCCGUUGAUGGGUGGAGGAGAAGUAUCUCAACUACACUUUGCUAGCUCAGCUCCUACAGUGACAUCAUCAAACUGAAUUUGAAGAUCAGAGAUAUGCUAUGGUUUGAAGUAUGAAUGAAAAGAUUCAGAACCAACACAAAGAUGAACUUCCCCUACAGUAACAAUAUCAAACUGAUUCAACCAUUCCAUACCUUGUGCUACCCUAGAUGCCGAGGAGCUCUCUGGUUCUCAUCCUGCUCAAGUACGCGAGAGAAUGGGACUACAUACGCUGGACUCGGAGGAAGAACAACUGGAGCUCCUCAUUGUCACUGGUCGAUUAUGUUGCAUGGCAAUGUGAUCAAGAUGCUUUUUGUUCACGAGGUCGUAAUAGGGAACUCGGUGAAUGGGACUAUAUUCUCUGAACUCAGAGGAAGAACAACUGGAGCUCCUCAGAAUCACUGGUAAGAGAAAUCUAAAAAAUCCCAAGGAGAUAAGUCGAUGGACCUUAAGGGAAAAUAGUUUUGUUCUAUAUAUUCGAAGAUACUAAAUUUAUGGAGAUAUGUCGACGAAGGCAGCUCAUAUGCUCACCGUACCUAAGGUAACAAUGGUUAGACCAUUUAAUUUCCCGCUGGAGAUGCCACUACUUCAACUGAUGGGGGGCAUUAUAAUAUACACAUGGAUAAGCAUUGUAAGGGAGCUAUGGAGGAGUUGGGUGAAAUGGAAGACUGUUGGCAAUGGAAGAUACACAAGGAGCCAAGUGAAGAGCCGAGAUGUUUGUUCAGUUGACUGGUGGUGGACGUGAGGCUGCUGUUUGCAGAGCAAACUCAAAAAGGUCAAGGUGCAUUUUGGCCAUGGAAGAUACACAAGGAGCCAAGUGAAGAAGAUCCCAAAUGUUUGUUCACUUGACUGGAGGAAGGAUGCUGCUUGCAGAGAGCCAAACUCAAUGGCCAAGGUUGUACAUGUUGAGCUAGUGAAAUUGCUGGGUGGAGGAGAAGUAUUUGGUACUCUCUGAUCUAAAGAGGAAGCAAAAGACAACGAGUCCCUUGAGAAGACCUCUUCGGAUACAAUUACAUAUGGUACUCUCUAAUCUCACUUUCUCUCUUUUCAUCCUCCUUCUUCUUCUUCUUGUUUGCGAGACGAGAGAUAUGGAGCUGGUUGAAAUCGAAGAUAUGGAGUAUGGUAGGUGGAUGUUGGCCAUGAAAGAUAAGAUACAUUACGGAAGGAGCCAAGUUAAGAGCCAAGCUCGCUCCCUCCUCCGACGGUUUGAUUUCUAAAUCUUAAUUUUAAUUACUUGUCCUUAUCUUAUUGUAGAUUGAUGGCUGGUUUGGUCUCUCUCUUUUUAUUUUAUUUUCUGAAAUUUUGUCACUCUCUUCUUUCGUUAUAGCUUCUGAUAUUUUCACUUGUGGGUUUCUAAAAUUGAAUUUACAUUGUUAUUUAAUUCUCAUUGAUUUAAUAUUUGUGGAGGUUGCUACUAUGAUAAUAAUUGAUCGGUGAUAUGGCUUUGAUGUAUCGUUGUCAAACUUUGAAUAUUGAUGGUUUAGGGUUUUUAUCGGGUAACUUCCUUUGUGUGUGCGCUUUUUUUUCAGGAAUGGGAUCAGUACUGUCUCUAUGAUGCUUUGUGACGCUACUUGUUAAGGUUUUGGAUGAUGCUUUUAUGGUUUCGGACCAGAUCAGCAGUUGUUCAAGAUUGUACAUGAUGAGCUAGUGAAAUUGACGGGUGGAGGAGAAGUAUCUGAGCUACACUUCCUUGUACCCGGAGCUGCAUUCACCGGGCUACCAGCAAUUCCACGGGAAAGUGGAUUGGAUCUUCAAACCCAUAACAUGCUUUUAAGAUCCUCUAAACUUAGAACCUUUCACUAAAGUUACUGAAACAGGAACUCAGCCAUUUGUGGACAGCUUAUCCCAGUGCCCCAAGCAUGGUCUCCAUAACCCUUUCAAAUCUCCACAGAGAUCUUACGCAAAUGUAUAGGGUUUUGGCGAGCCAAGCACUCAAAAGGUAAGAAGACUCUCUGUCUGUGACAAAUCCUCUUACCUCCCUUGCUUCUUUGACUCUCUCCAGAUUAAAUCAUUCCAUACCUUUUGCUACCGUAGAUGCUGAGGGGCUAUCUGGAGAUGGGACAAAUGAUGCCCCUGCAUUACACGAGGGAUAGAAUUACUCAAAACUGUUGAAUUAUUUUUAUUUGAUUUUUUUUCUGAUUAUGUCAGAAUCGAAAAGUUUCUCUUUCCCAAGUAUUUCAUCUGUCAGCCGAUCAUUUUCUCAUUGGUCUGAAACUUUUUUUGAGUGGAUUUGCAUGCAGAUAUUGGUAUUGUAAUGAGAAUAGCAGGAACAUAAGUGGCUAAGGAGAGUUCGGACAUCAUCAUCUUGGGUGACAACUUUGCUUCACUUUUUUGUUCAAAUUCACCUUUUUCCAUUCUGAAUCCAUAUUCACGUUACAGGGGAAUUUCUCAGCUGGCCAUCUCAUAUUAUCACAAGGUCUUGUGGUUGAAACCUGAUGAUCAGUUUUGUACCGAAAUGUAGAACGUGUCUCUCAUAGAUGAUUGUCAGAACGGGGUAGACGCAAAGGUUGAGCUCUGCUAGAAAUUGGAAGUCCCGAACAGCUCUCCUGGAUCACAGACUCACAGUAGAUCUCAAUCUCCUCUGCUCUGAGCGAUUCAUCAGCCUGUAGAGAACCUCUAGAAGUAUGUGAAUACUGAUGCUAGAGUUUUAACCAUUUAAAGAUAUUCCUCCAGCAGCACCGACACACAAUGCCCUCCAGAAGGAAUCACCAACCGAUUCUUGUACCAAAGCCUACCCUCCACAACUUUGUACUGGCUAAACUGCAAAGGAUCCUUUAAAACUGCCCGCAACAGGGAUUGAAUCUCACUGUUCUCCUCAAUUUCCUUGAAAAUAUCAUGCACCUGCAAUGCAGAAGGAAUAGUCAACCCAAAUAAGAGAGCAGAACAAGACGAGGAACUAGGAUGAUGAAUCCGAGACAAGCCAUCAGCAGCUUUGUCUUCAUCUUGCGUGAUCAUUGAAGUUAGAGUUUGUUAGAGAGCUUGCGUGCUCUGUUCAUGGUGAUAGGAGAGGAGCACUGUAACUCCGAUCUUGUCAGGGUUCAUCGUUUAUACUAGGGAUUAAGAAGAGAUAAGAGAGAAGAGAUCACACCUUCAAUCUUACCAAAUGGUGCGUUCGUGGUCACAGAUCGAAACAACCGCCAUGGAUCUCGUUGCAGUUCCAGUUUUCACAGGUAGAUUUGAUUUGCGUCAUUGGCUUGAUUGGAUGGAGAAUCGUUUUGUGUUGGGAGAUUACACAGAUUUUGAGAGAUUACACUUUGCACAUGGUUUCAUCGAAGGCGACGCAGAAGCGUUUGUUCGUGGUGUUGAAUCAGUGAUGCCUUACUGGAGUUGGAACGAAAUGAAGGAAUCGUUGUUGUGUGCUUUUGGUACCGAGGAUGAUCCAGAGAGAAUCAGCUUGGUCUUGGAGCGAGAACGACGAUGGGAGAAACUCCAACAAUCGUAUAUGGCGAAGCGAUCGUCUCCACAACGAUCUUCUGAGAAAAUCCAACCGAUUUCAAUGGAGCAAGCUCAUGAUCAUCUGGAAAUUUCUGAAGAAUCAUUGAAUCAGGUCGGUGCAAUCGUUGUUGAGAAGAAAGGAUCGCAGAAGGAGCAAGAUUCAUGGUUUGAACCAACUGGUUCCGAAACAGAAUCAAGUCUCACAUCGCAGCCACAAGCUGAAUCGCAAUCGUUGGACGUGGAUCACGGCGUAAACGCAAACGCAACGUUGCCAACGCUACCGGUAUGCGUUUCUGAUGAUUCUGAGCUUGUGAGGGAAGAAGUGACUUUGGUGUUGGACAAUCACAAGUAUGUGGUUGUGAACAAGUCACUGCAGCAGGAAUCAAUUCAGAAGAACAUAGAGAUUAUUGGUUACAUUGGUUAUGUGUAUAGAUUGGUUUAGUUAAAACGGUUUAGUUGGUAUACUUUACUUGUAUAUAUCACCCAGGUUGUACAGUUUACAGAAUUAAUUGAAUGAGAAAAUAUCUUUAACAAA